RNAcentral lists this ribosomal RNA (404 nucleotides) under Fusobacteriota bacterium. RNAcentral's name for it is "Fusobacteria bacterium partial 16S ribosomal RNA". It matches the Rfam family "Bacterial small subunit ribosomal RNA", at positions 355 to 776 of the family's 1533-position model. Lineage: Bacteria; Fusobacteriati; Fusobacteriota. The record is from RNAcentral.
UGGGGAAUAUUGCACAAUGGAGGGAACUCUGAUGCAGCGACGCCGCGUGAGUGAUGAAGGAAUUCGUUUCGUAAAACUCUGUUCUAUGGGAAGAAAAGGACUGUACCAUAGGAGAAAGCUCCGGCUAAAUACGUGCCAGCAGCCGCGGUAAUACGUAUGGAGCGAGCGUUGUCCGGAAUUAUUGGGCGUAAAGGGUGCGCAGGCGGCUUUACAAGUUGGAUGUGAAAUAUUGUGGCUCAACCACAAACGUGCAUCCAAAACUGCAAAGCUUGAGUUAAGGAGAGGUAAGUGGAAUUCCUGGUGUAGCGGUGGAAUGCGUAGAUAUCAGGAGGAAUACCGGUGGCGAAGGCGACUUACUGGACUUAAGCUGACGCGCAGGCACGAAAGCGUGGGGAGCAAACAGG